Podarcis muralis (Common wall lizard) is the source of this 2075-nucleotide non-coding RNA. The record is from RefSeq and is a predicted model, not a curated record. NCBI's taxonomy places the organism in Eukaryota, Metazoa, Chordata, Lepidosauria, Squamata, Lacertidae.
UUUCCCUGCCCAGUCGCCGCCCUCCGCUUGGCGGACGCAGGCGCGCCUCCCCGCCCGGUGCUGAGGGGGCUUCUUCUCCACCCCAGAGGGCGCGCUUGCCUCGCACAGGACGGCGCGCUGGCCGGGUAAAGAAUCCUCUCUUUCCCUUCAGAAGCGGAGACCGAAGGGAAAGAGGGCGAAAAAAUCACCGCGCGGCUCCCGCUCAAGGUCACUCCGGGCGGCCCCAACCCAGCGACGUCAACCCCCGACGCCGAAGGGAGGCGGCCCGGCUGUCGGCCAGCGGCGCAGCGCCUCACUCCGCGCCCCCCAGCGAAGAGAAGGCGGCGCUCCUCGAGCCGCUCUGCUUGGAGGCCUACUGAAGUGGUAAUGUCAUUCUGAUCUCCAUAGAAGAAAACUUGUUAUUCCUUGGUUUGAAGAGGGAUUUAAAAAUAAUAAUAAUGUAUCCAGUUCCUGGUUCCAUGCAUGAAGGAGAUAAUGGACAUCCUAGGAAACUUAUCUCUUUCCUUUUCGUUUUUGGCAUUACGUUGUUAUGUGCUGGAUUUCUGCUUUCGAUGUUUGUGUUGCAGACGUGCCCAAGUGGUGCCUUUGGUGACUGUAAAGGAGCCCUCAAAAUCAUUGGGCCUCUGCUUGCUGUUACUGGACUAGUUUGUAUAAUUCUGGCGCAAUCGAGAGCUAAAGGCUACCUCAGAGAGGUGCAAUUGCAAGAUGACCAGGUGUACGGGUUUGUUUUUUGUCGAGGAAACUGCCAGUUUGCUCAGUUCCUUGUCUUUGGUUUUUUAUUUUUAACUAGUGGGAUGCUAAUCAGCGUCCUUGGCAUUUGGAUUCCGGGAUGUAGCCCAGGUUGGCGCUACCAGCAGUUUAACCAUAGCAAUACUUCUAAUGUUGAACUCCAGGAUUGUGGAUUUCAUUCUGUUCAGACCAUGGGACCUUUGAUUGUGCUCAUUGGAUUGUGUUUCUUUGUGAUAGCUCACAUUAAAAAGAAACAAAACAUAAAUUUCGUCCAGGAGUCUUCUGUCAAUGAAGAAGAGCAGCUGGAUCCUGAAGCAUUUCAAGUUACAGUGGGUGAUACUGUAAUGGUAUUCCCACCACCGCCACCACCUUAUUUCGCUGACUGUCCACUGCAAACAAUAACUCCUAGCAUGGUAACAAGUGAUUUGCCUUUAAGUGAAAAUCCUCCACCGUACCACAGCACUUUUAUUAACUGAGCCUUUGCCCUAUCUUUUCUGAAUCAACCAGAAAUGAAUUCAAGAAGCCAUUGCAUCCCAUGGCAUGAUUGGAUGCCUCUUCUUACUUGACAAAUAAGAUCUUUCACAGAGCACAGAAUGCUGAUGCAUCAAACCUGGUUGCUUGAAGAGAGAAUGAGCUACUGUAUACAAUGUCAGGAUGUGAUUCACCUUCUGAGAACUUAAUCCACACUCUCUCAUCCCUCUGAGCCAUCUCAAAAUUAUAAGGGCAAACGAGCAGCUGUAAAUAAUGAAUGUGUUUUUUCUUCCUCUCCUUACAUCACCCAGAUGAUCCAUUGGCAUCCGCUUUGAACCAGCUGUAAGAAAUACUCAAGAGGGAAGGUGUAUAAAAGGGGAGAGAAAGAGGACUGUUAAAUUACAGGGUGAAAAUAGCCUGGAAGAGAGAUGGAGGAGCUUUGAGCCAGCAAGGAGAGCAGCAAGCUCCAUGGGCAAGAAAGUAGAAGGCCUGCCAAGCUAAGAUUUCUGUUACUGGAAAACGAAGCCAAGGCAAUCUACAGAGAAAUACUUGGGACACGAAGGACCCAGCACCUUAACACCUCUUCAUUUGGCACCUUGUAUGUAACUGGAAUACCCAAAGCAAUGUACGUCUCAAGUCAAGUCAGCUACCAUCUGAACAUAGUGCUGUGGCACACAUCUAGCAGAAGGAGGGGGAAAUCUGGUGGCUUUGUCUUUCUGUUUCCUUUUUCUUUUUUGGCUGUUGACAAACUCAAAAGUAAAGACACUGGAGACCUCAGAGCACCAAGUUUGUUGCGUGUGUGUUUGGGCUGACCCUCAUGUUAACAAAUUGUACAUGUGAGAUUUUCAGUUGAUUAAACAUUAUGGCACAAUGUA